GAUGAACGCUGGCGGCGUGCCUAAUACAUGCAAGUCGAGCGAACGGACGAGAAGCUUGCUUCUCUGAUGUUAGCGGCGGACGGGUGAGUAACACGUGGAUAACCUACCUAUAAGACUGGGAUAACUUCGGGAAACCGGAGCUAAUACCGGAUAAUAUUUUGAACCGCAUGGUUCAAAAGUGAAAGACGGUCUUGCUGUCACUUAUAGAUGGAUCCGCGCUGCAUUAGCUAGUUGGUAAGGUAACGGCUUACCAAGGCAACGAUGCAUAGCCGACCUGAGAGGGUGAUCGGCCACACUGGAACUGAGCCACGGUCCAGACUCCUACGGGAGGCAGCAGUAGGGAAUCUUCCGCAAUGGGCGGAAGCCUGACGGAGCAACGCCGCGUGAGUGAUGAAGGUCUUCGGAUCGUAAAACUCUGUUAUUAGGGAAGAACAUAUGUGUAAGUAACUGUGCACAUCUUGACGGUACCUAAUCAGAAAGCCACGGCUAACUACGUG
This 497-nucleotide ribosomal RNA is filed under the name uncultured bacterium. Its description in RNAcentral is "partial 16S ribosomal RNA". It matches the Rfam family "Bacterial small subunit ribosomal RNA", at positions 28 to 507 of the family's 1533-position model. The record is from RNAcentral.